This 467-nucleotide ribosomal RNA is filed under the name uncultured bacterium. RNAcentral describes it as "partial 16S ribosomal RNA". It matches the Rfam family "Bacterial small subunit ribosomal RNA", at positions 28 to 507 of the family's 1533-position model. The record is from RNAcentral.
GACGAACGCUGGCGGCGUGCUUAACACAUGCAAGUCGAACGAUGACGACCGAGCUUGCUCGGUCUGAUUAGUGGCGAACGGGUGAGUAACACGUGAGCAACCUGCCCUUCACUCUGGGAUAACCUCGGGAAAUCGGGGCUAAUACCGGAUAUGAGCUCCUGUCGCAUGGCGGGUGUUGGAAAGUUUUUCGGUGAAGGAUGGGCUCGCGGCCUAUCAGUUUGUUGGUGAGGUAGUGGCUCACCAAGGCGAUGACGGGUAGCCGGCCUGAGAGGGCGACCGGCCACACUGGGACUGAGACACGGCCCAGACUCCUACGGGAGGCAGCAGUGGGGAAUAGUGCACAAUGGGCGAAAGCCUGAUGCAGCGACGCCGCGUGAGGGAUGACGGCCUUCGGGUUGUAAACCUCUUUCAGCAGGGAAGAAGCGAAAGUGACGGUACCUGCAGAAGAAGCGCCGGCUAACUACGUG